AUGGGGAAGGCAGCAAGGGCAGCAGGAGCGACACCUCUCCACCGCCCCCCCGGAGGAGAUGCCCGCCCUCCCGUCUUCCUCGUCAGCCACCAGAUCUGCGUAUUCGACCACCGGGCCGACGACGUCCACACCGUGGCCCGGAUUGACAACUCCUUUGACCCGGAGGCCUCCUGCGAUGGCCUCCUCAUCCUCUCCAAGUUCGACAUCCAUGCUGAAGCUCCGUCUCACACCUUGCUUGUCUGCAACCCUGCCACUCGUGAGCAUGCCUCCCUCCGGUGUCCAUCGUGGGACUUCCACAUCGUUGGGAUGUACGCCCACCGACCCACCGGCGACGGCGACUACCGGCUGCUACUGCAACGGACGAUCGACAUGAAGUUGUCUGAAGGCCAAAUUGGCUGCUAUGUCUUCUCGUUGGGCUCCAAGCAGCCACCGAGGUACAUCGGGUGGCCGGAGGCAGCGUCAUGUGGUGUCCAUGCUCGGCCACUUGCGGUUGAUGUUGGCGCCGGCGCGCGGCGUUGGCGAUGCUCGGUGGUGCGGCUGCCUGGUGCGGUCGUUGUGUUUGUCGUCCCCUCCCGGCAACCUGUUGGUCCUGAUCAUGCGAGCUCAGGGGUGAGCGACUCUGCUUGUCGACGGCGUAGUGUCCUCGGAUCCAGGACUAGAGGGCAGGGGGCUCUCUUUGGAGGUAGAGACGAAUGGCGGACCGGAUGGCUUGGCCCAAGGGGGAUGACAGAGCGUGACAAUCCUCCUACAGCGGGAUCUACCUUAGCUCAGCCGCGGCGUGUGUUGGCUCCUGUUCGCCGAGGGCUUCGAUGUUCAAGCUUGUGCUUGGUGCAUUCGAGUCUUGUUAGUGGCUCCUUUGAAAUAAGGGAUCAGUUUUGGAACCACGAUGAGUACUGUUUGGACGUUGUUUCUGGGGAUGAUGGCGUGCUGGUGCUGCUCCUUCUUGGUCAGUAUAUGAUUCACGUUGACAGUGAUGGAGAAAUGCUUGAAAAUUUCAAUAUUGGUGAAAAACCCCGUAUGACAAAAUGGCGGCUCAAGCGCAGCAUACCUUCUUUUCGGCUCUAG
RNAcentral lists this ribosomal RNA (1065 nucleotides) under Triticum aestivum (bread wheat). RNAcentral describes it as "partial small subunit ribosomal RNA". Lineage: Eukaryota; Viridiplantae; Streptophyta; Magnoliopsida; Poales; Poaceae. The record is from RNAcentral.